CGGGGUGUAAUGUCAGCCUGGUCAGACGGCCGGCUUUGGAAGCCGGAGGCCACUGGUUCAAAUCCAGUCACCCCGACCA
Molecule: transfer RNA, 79 nt
Filed under: Burkholderia multivorans
Lineage: Bacteria; Pseudomonadati; Pseudomonadota; Betaproteobacteria; Burkholderiales; Burkholderiaceae
Description: tRNA-Pro
Rfam family: tRNA
About the family: Transfer RNA (tRNA) molecules are approximately 80 nucleotides in length. Their secondary structure includes four short double-helical elements and three loops (D, anti-codon, and T loops).
Source: RNAcentral